Long non-coding RNA from Amphiprion ocellaris (clown anemonefish), 1244 nucleotides. Lineage: Eukaryota; Metazoa; Chordata; Actinopteri; Pomacentridae. The record is from Ensembl.
GUCGCUCUAAAAACAUCAUAGUAUAGCAUGUCGCUCUAAAAAUGUCAUAGUUUAGCAUGUCGCUCUAAAAACAUCAUAGUAUAGCAUGUCGCUCUAUAAACGUCAUAGUAUAGCCUUUGGUCCAAAAAACAUCAUAGUUUAGCAUGUCACUCAAAAACGUCAUAGUAUAGCAUGUCGCUCUAAAAACGUCAUAGUAUAGCAUGUCGCUCUAAAAACGUCAUAGUAUAGCAUGUCGCUCAAAAAAAGUCAUAGUAUAGUAUGUCACUCUAAAAACGUCAUAGUAUAGCCUUUUGUCCAACAAACGUCAGAGUAUAGCAUGUCGCCCAAAAAACGUCAUCGUAUAGCAUGUCGCUCUAAAAACAUCAUAGUAUAGCAUGUCGCUCUAAAAAUGUCAUUGUAUAGCAUGUAGCUCUAAAAACGUCAUAGUAUAGCCUUUGGUCCAAAAAACGUCAUAGUUUAGCAUGUCGCUCAAAAAACGUCAUUGUAUAGCAUGUCGCUCUAAAAACGUCAUAGUUUAGCCUUUUGUCCACAAAACAUUGUUUUGUCCUGACUGUCUGAAGUAGGUGAGGAGCAACACAAAAACAGUCCAAACGCUGGUUUCCAGAGGGUUAGACGAGUAUUUAUUUGAAAGAGUAAGUUUACAGUAACACAACAUGUGAAGGGGUUAAAAGCAAAUGGGUGUUAGUAAAAUAAAAAUAAAUCAACAGAACUAAAAGUGAACUCCACGUUGACACUGAUGGGCAUUCCAACCAGGAACAAAGUAAAAGAUAAUCAAUAGGAAAAAAAACUCUUCCUGUUCACCUCUUAAAACCCAAAAACUCACCGCAGUAGCAGCCUAAACUAAAACUACCAAUGGGUUCCCUGUUUUCCUUUCUGAACAAUUCAAAGGUCCCUCUCUAUCUCCCCACACAUCCACCAACCACUGGAACACAUCUCCAAAGUUCUGCUGGACCAGCUCAGCUUCCCCUCAGAAGAAGUGGCGCCACCUGCCAGAUGAAGGAGCCUUUUGAGAGGCAGCUGGCAUCGUGAUUGGACUGUACUUUGGUCUGUUCCAGUCCAGCUUCAGCUCCAGAGACGGCAGGCGGGACGAGUCAACGGAGGCCUGGUGGAUGAAGGCAUGCAGCUGAGUACAAUCCAGAAAACAACAGAGGAGGAGUGCAGCAGCCCAGAGCCAGAACAACCAGAGUAGCAUCGUAUGUCUCUUAGAAAACAUCAUAGUAGAGCCUUUGGUAUGAAAAAACGGC